Leptinotarsa decemlineata (Colorado potato beetle) is the source of this 493-nucleotide long non-coding RNA. NCBI's taxonomy places the organism in Eukaryota, Metazoa, Arthropoda, Insecta, Coleoptera, Chrysomelidae. The record is from RefSeq and is a predicted model, not a curated record.
UAACUAUCAGUGAUUGGUGCCAAAAACUCAGCCAUAUAUGUCUGACAUACGCCAGAAUUUUUCUUGGUUAUUGAAUUUUUUCAAUCAACUGAUGUUCUACAUAUUCCUGUCUGAUGCCUCAAAAUAAGUGCAUCCAAACAAGCCAACAGUGACUUUUAAUACAAUUAUUAUUGAAGAUGCCAAAGUACAUAUACACCUUGCUCCCAGAUUUUAUAAGCUUGUUAACAGAAAAACAGAAAAGACAGAUACAUUUAUAUAGUCAAGGCUUUUCCUCCAGAUUCCAAUCAAGAGACAAAUAUGGUUACCUUGUGUUAUAUAGUUUACGAAAAUCCCUAGUGAUUGGAGAGGCAUAUGUUCUCUUCGAUGAACUGGAGGGCACUAAAUCACACUUUUAAGAUGAAUGUUCAAUAUGAGAAAUGUUCAAAAAUAUUCCAUACAAUGUAAAACAUCCCUGCAAUAUGAAAUGUGAUGCAAAUAAAUAACAUGAAAUGUA